ACGUAGGUGGCUAGCGUUACUCGGAUUUACUAGGCGUAAAGCGCAUGUAGGCGGUUGGAUAAGUCGACUGUUAAAGCCCCUGGCUUAACCAGGGGAGGUCGGUCGAAACUGUUUAACUUGAGUUUGGUAGAGGUAACUGGAAUUCCCGGUGUAGCGGUGAAAUGCGUAGAUAUCGGGAGGAAUACCAAUGGCGAAGGCAGGUUACUGGACCAAUACUGACGCUCAGAUGCGAAAGCUAGGGGAGCAAACAG
RNAcentral lists this ribosomal RNA (251 nucleotides) under uncultured prokaryote. RNAcentral describes it as "partial 16S rRNA". It matches the Rfam family "Bacterial small subunit ribosomal RNA", at positions 525 to 775 of the family's 1533-position model. The record is from RNAcentral.